UACGUAGGGGGCGAGCGUUGUCCGAAGUUACUGGGCGUAAAGCGCGCGUAGGCGGGUUGGCAAGUCUGCUGUGAAAGCCCGGGGCUUAACUCCGGAGGGUCGGUGGAUACUGCCAGUCUUGAAGGUGCUAGGGAGAGAUGGAAUUACAGGUGUAGCGGUGAAAUGCGUAGAUAUCUGUAGGAACACCAGUGGCGAAGGCGGUCUCUUGGGGCAUUCUUGACGCUGAGGCGCGAAAGCUGGGGGAGCAAACGGG
This 253-nucleotide ribosomal RNA is filed under the name uncultured bacterium. RNAcentral's name for it is "partial 16S ribosomal RNA". It matches the Rfam family "Bacterial small subunit ribosomal RNA", at positions 524 to 776 of the family's 1533-position model. The record is from RNAcentral.